Molecule: ribosomal RNA, 291 nt
Filed under: Toxopneustes pileolus
Lineage: Eukaryota; Metazoa; Echinodermata; Echinoidea; Temnopleuroida; Toxopneustidae
Description: partial 28S ribosomal RNA
Rfam family: Eukaryotic large subunit ribosomal RNA
Source: RNAcentral
AUUCCCUUAGUAGCGGCGAGUGAAGCGGGAAGAGCCCAUCGCCGAAUCCCGGCGGCCCCUGGGGCCCCGGGAGCUGUGGCGUGAGGCGGCUUCGGGCGCGAGAGUCCCACGACGCCGAGGUCCUCCUGAUCGGGGCACCUUACCCGGAGCGGGUGUCAGGCCCGUUCGGGCGUCGGGGCUCGAGGGCCUGGAGCCACCAAGAGUCGGGUAGUUUUGGAAUGCUGCCCAAAGAGGGGUGGUGAACUCCAUCCAAGGCUAAAUACUGGCACGAGACCGAUAGCAGACAAGUAC